UUGACGCAUUUGGUUGAGCAGGGCGGGUCGAGACGUGGUAAAGCAUCAUGAGUGCCUCGUCUAUAAAUAAACCUCGUGAAUUGCUGGGAACUCUUUGGAAUGACUUGUUGGCUACAACGUAACUGGAAACGGUAAGCGUGAAUGCUUGAAAACAACAAGUGGAGAAAGACAAUCAGCAGCCAAGCUCCUUUAACAUGGAGAAGGUUCAACGACCAUCGAAAGCACGCUAAAGCAAGCGGAAGUGAGUAGAGUAGGAAUCAAGUGAUUCCGAAGCGCGGGGACACUCAGGAUUUGAGUGUAAGAUAUGGUCUGGACUCUAAGGUGACUUAGAG
RNAcentral lists this non-coding RNA (332 nucleotides) under Bacillus sp. CECT 9360. RNAcentral describes it as "Intron_gpI". It matches the Rfam family "Group I catalytic intron". From Rfam's summary of the family: Group I catalytic introns are large self-splicing ribozymes. The record is from RNAcentral. Lineage: Bacteria; Bacillati; Bacillota; Bacilli; Caryophanales; Bacillaceae.